RNAcentral lists this ribosomal RNA (478 nucleotides) under uncultured bacterium. Its description in RNAcentral is "partial 16S ribosomal RNA". It matches the Rfam family "Bacterial small subunit ribosomal RNA", at positions 28 to 507 of the family's 1533-position model. The record is from RNAcentral.
GACGAACGCUGGCGGCGUGCUUAACACAUGCAAGUCGAACGGGAUUUAGUAGACAGAAGCCUCGGCUAAAGAUUACUAAUGAGAGUGGCGAACGGGUGAGUAACGCGUGAGCAACCUGCCUAUGACAGUGGGAUAGCCUCGGGAAACCGGGAUUAAUACCGCAUAAAAUCGUAGAAACACAUGUUUCAACGGUCAAAGAUUUAUCGGUCAUAGAUGGGCUCGCGUCUGAUUAGCUAGUUGGUGAGAUAACAGCCCACCAAGGCGACGAUCAGUAGCCGGUCUGAGAGGAUGAACGGCCACAUUGGAACUGAGACACGGUCCAAACUCCUACGGGAGGCAGCAGUGGUGAAUAUUGCACAAUGGGGGAAACCCUGAUGCAGCGACGCCGCGUGAACGAAGAAGGUAUUCGUAUCGUAAAGUUCUGUCCUAUGGGAAGAUAAUGACAGUACCAUAGAAGAAAGCUCCGGCUAAAUACGUG